UGUCUAUAAAAGGCGUGGUGAUAGAU
This 26-nucleotide non-coding RNA is filed under the name Homo sapiens (human). Lineage: Eukaryota; Metazoa; Chordata; Mammalia; Primates; Hominidae. The record is from RNAcentral.